Molecule: ribosomal RNA, 585 nt
Filed under: uncultured beta proteobacterium
Lineage: Bacteria; Pseudomonadati; Pseudomonadota; Betaproteobacteria
Description: bacterial SSU rRNA
Rfam family: Bacterial small subunit ribosomal RNA
Source: RNAcentral
CCUACGGGAGGCAGCAGUGGGGAAUUUUGGACAAUGGGGGAAACCCUGAUCCAGCAAUGCCGCGUGUGUGAAGAAGGCCUUCGGGUUGUAAAGCACUUUUGUCAGGAACGAAACGGUGGGGGCUAAUAUCCUCUGCUAAUGACGGUACCUGAAGAAUAAGCACCGGCUAACUACGUGCCAGCAGCCGCGGUAAUACGUAGGGUGCGAGCGUUAAUCGGAAUUACUGGGCGUAAAGCGUGCGCAGGCGGUUGUGCAAGACAGAUGUGAAAUCCCCGGGCUUAACCUGGGAAUUGCAUUUGUGACUGCACGGCUAGAGUGUGUCAGAGGGGGGUAGAAUUCCACGUGUAGCAGUGAAAUGCGUAGAUAUGUGGAGGAAUACCGAUGGCGAAGGCAGCCCCCUGGGAUAACACUGACGCUCAUGCACGAAAGCGUGGGGAGCAAACAGGAUUAGAUACCCUGGUAGUCCACGCCCUAAACGAUGUCUACUAGUUGUCGGGUCUUAAUUGACUUGGUAACGCAGCUAACGCGUGAAGUAGACCGCCUGGGGAGUACGGUCGCAAGAUUAAAACUCAAAGGAAUUGACGG